UGGGGAAUAUUGCACAAUGGGGGAAACCCUGAUGCAGUGACGCCGCGUGAGUGAAGAAGUAUUUCGGUAUGUAAAGCUCUAUCAGCAGGGAAGAAAAUGACGGUACCUGACUAAGAAGCCCCGGCUAACUACGUGCCAGCAGCCGCGGUAAUACGUAGGGGCAAGCGUUAUCCGGAUUUACUGGGUGUAAAGGGAGCGUAGACGGCAUGACAAGCCAGAUGUGAAAACCCAGGGCUCAACCCUGGGACUGCAUUUGGAACUGCCAGGCUGGAGUGCAGGAGAGGUAAGCGGAAUUCCUAGUGUAGCGGUGAAAUGCGUAGAUAUUAGGAGGAACACCAGUGGCGAAGGCGGCUUACUGGACGGUAACUGACGUUGAGGCUCGAAAGCGUGGGGAGCAAACAGGAUUAGAUACC
Molecule: ribosomal RNA, 413 nt
Filed under: uncultured bacterium
Lineage: Bacteria
Description: bacterial SSU rRNA
Rfam family: Bacterial small subunit ribosomal RNA
Source: RNAcentral